Molecule: ribosomal RNA, 251 nt
Filed under: uncultured bacterium
Lineage: Bacteria
Description: partial 16S ribosomal RNA
Rfam family: Bacterial small subunit ribosomal RNA
Source: RNAcentral
GCAGGAACCGGCGAACGGGUGCGUAACACGUAUGCAACCUACCUAUAACUGGGGGAUAGCCCGGAGAAAUCUGGAUUAAUACCCCAUGGUACCUAAGAAUCGAAUGGUUUUUAGUUUAAAGAUUUAUCGGUAAAAGAUGGGCAUGCGUCUGAUUAGCUAGUUGGCGGGGUAACGGCCCACCAAGGCGACGAUCAGUAGGGGUUCUGAGAGGAAGGUCCCCCACACUGGCACUGAGAUACGGGCCAGACUCC